Molecule: ribosomal RNA, 566 nt
Filed under: Streptomyces sp. 322G10
Lineage: Bacteria; Bacillati; Actinomycetota; Actinomycetes; Kitasatosporales; Streptomycetaceae
Description: bacterial SSU rRNA
Rfam family: Bacterial small subunit ribosomal RNA
Source: RNAcentral
CAGUGGCGAACGGGUGAGUAACACGUGGGCAAUCUGCCCUGCACUCUGGGACAAGCCCUGGAAACGGGGUCUAAUACCGGAUAUGACCGUGGAGCGCAUGCUCUGUGGUGUAAAGCUCCGGCGGUGCAGGAUGAGCCCGCGGCCUAUCAGCUUGUUGGUGGGGUAAUGGCCUACCAAGGCGACGACGGGUAGCCGGCCUGAGAGGGCGACCGGCCACACUGGGACUGAGACACGGCCCAGACUCCUACGGGAGGCAGCAGUGGGGAAUAUUGCACAAUGGGCGAAAGCCUGAUGCAGCGACGCCGCGUGAGGGAUGACGGCCUUCGGGUUGUAAACCUCUUUCAGCAGGGAAGAAGCGCAAGUGACGGUACCUGCAGAAGAAGCACCGGCUAACUACGUGCCAGCAGCCCGCGGUAAUACGUAGGGUGCGAGCGUUGUCCGGAAUUAUUGGGCGUAAAGAGCUCGUAGGCGGCCUGUCGCNGUCGGAUGUGAAAGCCCGGGGCUUAACCCCGGGUCUGCAUUCGAUACGGGCAGGCUAGAGUGUGGUAGGGGAGAUCGGAAUUCCU